AGAACGAACGCUGGCGGCAUGCCUAACACAUGCAAGUCGAACGAGACCUUCGGGUCUAGUGGCGCACGGGUGCGUAACGCGUGGGAAUCUGCCCUUGGGUUCGGGAUAACAGUUGGAAACGACUGCUAAUACCGGAUGAUGACUUCGGUCCAAAGAUUUAUUGCCCAGGGAUGAGCCCGCGUAGGAUUAGCUAGUUGGUGAGGUAAAGGCUCACCAAGGCGACGAUCCUUAGCUGGUCUGAGAGGAUGAUCAGCCACACUGGGACUGAGACACGGCCCAGACUCCGUACGGGAGGCAGCAGUGGGGAAU
This 309-nucleotide ribosomal RNA is filed under the name uncultured soil bacterium. RNAcentral describes it as "bacterial SSU rRNA". It matches the Rfam family "Bacterial small subunit ribosomal RNA", at positions 26 to 362 of the family's 1533-position model. The record is from RNAcentral.